Molecule: ribosomal RNA, 631 nt
Filed under: Pseudoalteromonas sp. HD1
Lineage: Bacteria; Pseudomonadati; Pseudomonadota; Gammaproteobacteria; Alteromonadales; Pseudoalteromonadaceae
Description: bacterial SSU rRNA
Rfam family: Bacterial small subunit ribosomal RNA
Source: RNAcentral
AGCGGUAACAGAAAGUAGCUUGCUACUUUGCUGACGAGCGGCGGACGGGUGAGUAAUGCUUGGGAACAUGCCUUGAGGUGGGGGACAACAGUUGGAAACGACUGCUAAUACCGCAUAAUGUCUACGGACCAAAGGGGGCUUCGGCUCUCGCCUUUAGAUUGGCCCAAGUGGGAUUAGCUAGUUGGUGAGGUAAUGGCUCACCAAGGCGACGAUCCCUAGCUGGUUUGAGAGGAUGAUCAGCCACACUGGGACUGAGACACGGCCCAGACUCCUACGGGAGGCAGCAGUGGGGAAUAUUGCACAAUGGGCGCAAGCCUGAUGCAGCCAUGCCGCGUGUGUGAAGAAGGCCUUCGGGUUGUAAAGCACUUUCAGUCAGGAGGAAAGGUUAGUAGUUAAUACCUGCUAGCUGUGACGUUACUGACAGAAGAAGCACCGGCUAACUCCGUGCCAGCAGCCGCGGUAAUACGGAGGGUGCGAGCGUUAAUCGGAAUUACUGGGCGUAAAGCGUACGCAGGCGGUUUGUUAAGCGAGAUGUGAAAGCCCCGGGCUCAACCUGGGAACUGCAUUUCGAACUGGCAAACUAGAGUGUGAUAGAGGGUGGUAGAAUUUCAGGUGUAGCGGUGAAAUGCGU